UNCCCAAGGCCUAUAGAUCCUACUACUCAC
Molecule: non-coding RNA, 30 nt
Filed under: Mus musculus (house mouse)
Lineage: Eukaryota; Metazoa; Chordata; Mammalia; Rodentia; Muridae
Source: RNAcentral